GAGGGUACAGCUCAGUGGUAGAGUACAUGCUUAGCAUGGGCGAGGUCCUGGGUUCAAUCCCCAGUACUGCCA
This 72-nucleotide transfer RNA is filed under the name Camelus bactrianus (Bactrian camel). It matches the Rfam family "tRNA". From Rfam's summary of the family: Transfer RNA (tRNA) molecules are approximately 80 nucleotides in length. The record is from Rfam by way of RNAcentral. RNAcentral also lists the same sequence under 3 other names. Lineage: Eukaryota; Metazoa; Chordata; Mammalia; Artiodactyla; Camelidae.